UACGGGGGGGGCAAGCGUUGUUCGGAAUUACUGGGCGUAAAGGGCUCGUAGGUGGCCAACUAAGUCAGACGUUAAAUCCCCAGGCUUAACCUGGGAACUGCGUCUGAUACUGGAUGGCUUGAAUUCGGGAGAGGGAUGCAGAAUUCCAGGUGUAGCGGUGAAAUGCGUAGAUAUCUGGAGGAAUACCGGUGGCGAAGGCGGCAUCCUGGACCGAGAUUGACACUGAUGAGCGAAAGCUAGGGGAGCAAACGGG
Molecule: ribosomal RNA, 253 nt
Filed under: uncultured bacterium
Lineage: Bacteria
Description: partial 16S ribosomal RNA
Rfam family: Bacterial small subunit ribosomal RNA
Source: RNAcentral